UAUGGGACUGCCACACUGGCCAGUGCCCAGUGUGUUCAUACAAUCAACCUCCAAGCGGAAGCAGGGUCUUUAUUCAGUUAUAGCCCAUGAGUUUUCCUUGGCUUGGCAAAUGCUGUAAAGCAGGCUUUUAACAUUCAAACCAGUAAACAAGUUCUAAUAGCUUAUCUGUAUGGAAAGCAACUGAUAUACCCAGUCUUCCUUUCACAUAUCUCACAUCUAUGGAGGGAUUCCAUAGCGGUGAAGUCACGUGAUUGGUUAUUGUUGGAGGUCAGCGACUAUACUCUGGUCUGUUGAAAAACAUCAAAGGUGUGGCAUCUCAAUAUACUCGAAUGUAUAAUGAUUUUGAGGCAAUUACGAACACGGUCACCUCCCUCCUAUGAUGGGAUCAGUAUCUCAUAAAUCGUCAUCGUUGGAAGGAAACCAUCAAAGUUUGGGCUUAUUCUGAAAAUGGCAGCAUCUCACAAUCAACGACGAGGCUACAUUUAGCCCGUGAGAGCAUGGAACCAGGCUGACGACUAGCCUUGUAGAGGUGGAGAAGGGAUUGAGGAGUAGCGAGGUAGAGAUUAGAAAAAAAAGAAGCUGAAAUCCUCGAGAUCUUUGGUGGUGCGUUGAACGGAAGGGAUAGAUAGUGGUGGCUAGGUGGAGAGGAGAGAGAGGAAGAAGUGGGGUUGAUGUGGAGAAGAGAGUGAUGGCUCGGUGAGAGGAGAGAGGAUGAGGUGAUGUGGAGAAGGGAGUGGUGGCUGGGUGGGGAGGAAUAGCAAAAGGAGAACACACAAGUAUGAGCAAGUCUCGACUCUUAUGUGUUAAUCUGAAUAGUAUUUAAUUUAUUUUUGAGUUUCAUCAAAUAACAUC
Brassica oleracea var. oleracea is the source of this 852-nucleotide long non-coding RNA. RefSeq lists it as uncharacterized. The transcript has 3 exons. Lineage: Eukaryota; Viridiplantae; Streptophyta; Magnoliopsida; Brassicales; Brassicaceae. The record is from RefSeq and is a predicted model, not a curated record.